GCCAACUGAGGUGUGUGAAGGGUAGUGAAGCAUAGAAUCUUGGGUAGAGUUGAUGGAAGACCUGACCCAAUCCGAUAUUCACAGUGACUUGAAAAGUGAUAUUGCUUCUUCCUACUUUGUUUAAUUGUUGUGCGCAUUCUGAUUUGUCCGUCUAGCAAAAGCAAGAAUCUUAUUCCAGGAUAUGAGAGGAAUUUUUCUGACUUGGAUUAGGGGAAUCCACUAUCUCUGUUGUGUUGAGAGACCUUCUUCGCCCUCAUUCUCAUGGAAGAUUCUCAGAUUUUAUUACACUGGUGUUCCUCACUUGUCAAUGUUCAUAGUGAAAACUAAUCAUGUUUUAUAAUUGGGAUUUAUUUGAAUGUUAAUAUACCCACAGGUAGCAGAUGGGGACAUGAAAACAUUGUUUUAACUGGUUAUAUUUGGAGAAUGUAGAAGAAGAUUCUGUUGACUGGAGCACCUGGAAACUUUGGAAUUAGAUACAAUUACAAACAAGGGGAAAAAAUAAUAUGGUGGCAAGAUGCCUGUCCUUGGACAUUGUUUGAAGGCAAGGAAUGGAAUAAGGAAUACAUUCUCUUUUGUCUCCUUCAGUAAGUUUGGUACUUAUUCAGGCCAGAUAGUAUAAAAUAGAAAGAAGAGGGGCCCAAUUCUUUUUUCAUCUUCAAUUGGCACAAGACAGCCGGCGCUGCACCGACGAAUCCUAAGUGUCUGGGACCCAAUGAGAAGGAGAAGGAGAGGGAGAAAAAAUAAAAAAAUAAAAAAAAGGGAAAAAAGAAAAAGGAUCGUACUUGCUUCCAUACUUACAUUUGAUGAAGGACAUGAAAAUUCUCUCCCUGGAGACGACCACCUGCCCUUGACUCCUGCUUCUAUUGGCCCGAUUCUCUUGUAUGAAUCUAUACAUACUAGACCAUAGUUUUUCUAUUUUAUUUUACUUUAGUUCAUUUCCAUUUUAUCUUUAAAGGCAA
Molecule: long non-coding RNA, 959 nt
Organism: Ricinus communis (castor bean)
Lineage: Eukaryota; Viridiplantae; Streptophyta; Magnoliopsida; Malpighiales; Euphorbiaceae
Exons: 2
Source: RefSeq, a predicted model, not a curated record